UUUCAACAUUGAUAAUUGUUGUGUAUUGAGAAUGAUGUUGUGCAUAAUGGUGAUAAAUGCAUGGUGAUUCUUUUGGUGAUAAUGCAUGUUAUUGAGACUCGUGCAUCAUGAUGUACGGGCUUCGAUCCAGUUUUGGUGUGCUAUGGUCUGGUGGUGUGGAUUUAGGAGCGAGUAGCUAAUUCCAAUGAGGAAUUGGUGAAGCGUUGCUAAAUGG
Molecule: long non-coding RNA, 214 nt
Filed under: Lathyrus oleraceus (garden pea)
Lineage: Eukaryota; Viridiplantae; Streptophyta; Magnoliopsida; Fabales; Fabaceae
Description: Pisum sativum (pea) long non-coding RNA (PSAT_LNC001633)
Source: RNAcentral